RNAcentral lists this long non-coding RNA (431 nucleotides) under Ananas comosus (pineapple). RNAcentral's name for it is "long non-coding RNA (ACOM_LNC006261)". The record is from RNAcentral. Lineage: Eukaryota; Viridiplantae; Streptophyta; Magnoliopsida; Poales; Bromeliaceae.
AUAGAAUGCAACGGAGACACUGAUGGCGUGACGUAAUAAAUCAAUCAAAAAACUUUUUUUUAGAAAUAUAUGUCCGAUUAUGAUUAUAAAAAAGUAUUUUUAUUAUACUUUUAUUUGAAAAGAAAAAAUAUGUUUGACUUGUUAUUAAUGACGUGGUGCAAGUGUGAUAGUGUAGAAUUCCUCACUCACAAGGAAAGGAAAAAUUCUAGAAUGCAAUGGAUAUAUUGGUGACGUGGCGUAACAAAUCAAUCAAAAUUUUUCUUUUAAAAAUAUAUGUCCCAUCAAAAUUAUAAAAAAAUAUUUUUAUUUUACUUUUGUUUGAAAAGAAGAAAAGUGAUUGACUUAUUAUUGAUGAUGUGAUGUAAGUAUGAUAGUGUAGAAUUCCUCCAAGGGGAGGCAUAGGAUUGCGGAGACCACGCGAAUGAGAGGAG